UUUCCGUAGGUGAACCUGCGGAAGGAUCAUUAAUGAGUUGUCAUGGGGUUCGAUGCUGUCAGACAGUUUUUGGAUGCAUGUGCUUGCCCUAACAAUCAUCUUCUUCCAAACACCUGUGCACAUUUUUGAGGGAGUCUUGAGUUGGUUGCCGCUCUUGGGUGAUUUUCUCACAUUCCCUUAAAUCAUUAUACGCUAUUAACAAUGUUGAACGUGCUCUGUGCCGCAAGGCCAUUAAUAUAAUACAACUUUUAACAACGGAUCUCUUGGCUCUC
This 272-nucleotide unclassified non-coding RNA is filed under the name plant metagenome. Its description in RNAcentral is "partial contains small subunit ribosomal RNA, internal transcribed spacer 1, and 5.8S ribosomal RNA". The record is from RNAcentral.